UGCGUAUCGGAAAUUUGAUGUUGUUAAAUUAUUACACCUUUUGAUUACAACAUCUUUAAGGAAUUAAAUGUUAUAUUUUUGACAUUAAGCGUUGGUAUAAAUAUGCAACUCCUAUUGUGUUUCUGUACAAGGUAUUUCAUUCACCAUGGAAGGACAACACUUGUAUCUUUCUCUCCUGUGCCUCGUCGCUGUGUACACUUUUGCCUCAGCAAAUCCGUAUAAUGUAGCUUCUGCACGUGCUAGUGCUACAGCCUACAACCCAGGAAAAUACAAUCCAGGAAAUAACUACAACCCAUCAAAAUAUGG
This is a long non-coding RNA of Mytilus trossulus (common blue mussel), 306 nucleotides long. RefSeq lists it as uncharacterized. The record is from RefSeq and is a predicted model, not a curated record. Lineage: Eukaryota; Metazoa; Mollusca; Bivalvia; Mytilida; Mytilidae. The transcript has 3 exons.